Molecule: long non-coding RNA, 1040 nt
Filed under: Ovis aries (sheep)
Lineage: Eukaryota; Metazoa; Chordata; Mammalia; Artiodactyla; Bovidae
Description: lncRNA (ENSOARG00000025769.1)
Source: RNAcentral
AUGUUUUUAUUUGUAACUGGAGAGAGAAAAAAACAAAUGCGUGAAGUAGCUGGAAAACUGCAAUGUUCCAGUUUCUCCACAUUCUGCUGCAGUAUUUGCAAUUGUGAUGCUGCAGUCUCAGGCUUUGUUAACCAGAGAUUGUUCUCAUGUGCCACCCAGCUGAUGGACCUGUUCCCUUGUGGCCUUCACCAGAACCCUGCCACUUUUGCCCUGAUGCAAGUCUGCACACAGAAGGGCUGAAAUAAAGAACAAUAUCUACAGUUAUAGGGGACUUCCUCUGUGCCAGGCAUAAGUUUAAACAUAUUAUAGAAAUCAUAUCAUUUAAUCAUCAUUCACAUUACCCCCAUUUAGUAGAUUAGAGAUCUGAGACUCAGAGGUAAAGCUGCUUGUCCUGCAUCUCCUGCUGGGUCGGACACUUGAGCCCAGCAGUUGUGGGGCCCCUUCUCUUAAUCUCCUCCAUGUAUGUGUGAUGCAUACAAGCAUACACAUAUAGACACAGAAAGCAGUAUAGUUCUAAUAUCUCCUUUGAACUGUGAUGAAGAUGAUGACAUUCGAAUUUUCUGAUUUCUGCUGGAGAACUACACAUAUUGCUCUGUGCAGAGAAGAAACUCAUUUGAACUAGUCAAAUAGAGGAUAAUGAAUCUUCCCAUUUCUGCUUCCUGUUGUGCCUACUGAUAGAAAUUUGUACAGAAGUUUAUCCCACAUGCUGCUUAGAAACACUGCAAACGCUUGAGGUUUACAUUUCCAGGAGGAGGAAACCCUGGUAACAACUUCGGACCUAAAGAUGAGAAUGAUUAAUUUUCUGAACUUGUGUUGUCCUUAUGUCUGAACUUAUUUUUGUCCUGUCACUCUCAUAAACUUUUCAAAGCUUUUGUUGAGAUGAUGGACCUCUAGAUUCCAGUCAGGUGAACAAGUGUUUAAUUCAAGUGCUGCUAAUCAAUGAUGCUGAGAUCUGUUUAGCCUGCAAUUCACUAGUCACAGUGGGAAGAUAAAGCACAUAACACGGCUGCUCCUUUAAGGCUCUCACAAAAUCCUCAGAG